This is a long non-coding RNA of Parambassis ranga (Indian glassy fish), 623 nucleotides long. NCBI's taxonomy places the organism in Eukaryota, Metazoa, Chordata, Actinopteri, Ambassidae. The record is from Ensembl.
UGGUCACAUCACACAUGACUUCUGUCUGUCAUAGGCCCAGCGGUGGAGCUGAUCUGCAGCUGCACCAGGAGGCCCAGCAGCUGCACCAGGAAGCCCAGCAGCCUCCGGGCUGUAAGAGGAGGUGCAGGGAGGACCCAGAGGAGAUGAACAGGGGGAGGAGGAGAAGCAGAGGAGGCUGCAAGGAGAACAGAGACCCAGGAGCAGGCCUAAGGAGGGGCGGGACCCAGAACCUGCAGAGGGACCGCAGAUGGGCUUCACAGGCCAGAACCAGGACCAGAACCACAGCCUGCACUGGAGCUGCAUUCAGCCGUGCAAGUGAGGUCAAGGCUGGCGGACCAGAGGUACGAGUGGCUCUGAUCAGAAAGACCAGGAUUCAGCUCCGAGGAUCCAGUCAGACCCAGGACCGGCAGCCCAGGACCAACUCAAAGGUCAGGUCCACAGCAGGCAGCAGAAUCAGCAGCGAGCAGGACAGGGGGACACCGAGGACCUGGUCUGUUGGCAGGGCGACUGAGACCAGGGCAAGGAGGAGAAGGAAGAUUCACCCGUCUGUGUUCAGAGGGAGAGGUACUCAAUCAAUCAAUCAACCGAUCAAUCGAUCGAUCGAUCGGUCAAAAGCCUGACUG